This 550-nucleotide ribosomal RNA is filed under the name uncultured bacterium. RNAcentral's name for it is "bacterial SSU rRNA". It matches the Rfam family "Bacterial small subunit ribosomal RNA", at positions 777 to 1328 of the family's 1533-position model. The record is from RNAcentral.
AAUAGAUACCCUGGUAGUCCACGCUGUAAACGAUGAGGACUAGAUGUUGGUAGGGGAACCUAUCGGUAUCGAAGCAAACGCGAUAAGUCUUCCGCCUGGGAAGUACGGCCGCAAGGUUGAAACUCAAAUGAAUUGACGGGGGCCCGCACAAGCGGUGGAGCAUGUGGUUUAAUUCGAUGCAACGCGAAGAACCUUACCUACCCUUGACAUCCUAGGAACCCUGCAGAGACGUAGGGGUGCCGAAAGGAACCUAGAGACAGGUGCUGCAUGGCUGUCGUCAGCUCGUGUUGUGAGAUGUUGGGUUAAGUCCCGUAACGAGCGCAACCCUUGCCCUUAGUUGCCAGCAUUAAGUUGGGGACUCUAAGGGGACUGCCGGUGAUGAACCGGAGGAAGGCGGGGACGACGUCAAGUCAUCAUGGCCUUUAUGGGUAGGGCUACACACGUGCUACAAUGGGGCGUACAGAGGGUAGCCAACCCGGCGAGGGGGAGCCAAUCUCAGAAAGCGUCUCGUAGUCCGGAUUGGAGUCUGCAACUCGACUCCAUGAAGUUG